AAGGAUGGAGACGCCACAAGAAAUAUGGCUUAGGGGUCCAGCUCCUUGAGCGCCAAGUGCCUGCACAAGUUGGACCUGAAGCAGUGGACCCUCAUGCAUGAGUAAAGAAUAAAGGAGCUUUCUGACUCUUUCCUGGGUGAAUGCUUGGUUUCUUUGCUGUUCGAAGAAGAUUUUUUCCAUAACACUUCCAGAACUGUGAAAACUUGCCAGCAAGGAGGAAGUCUGCAGGUCAGCACUAGCUUGAUUGCUCCAUGCCCUGUGACCAAAGUGUGUAUUGUCUUCAUCAAUUGGGUCUUACCAUCAAGUUCUGGUGGACAGCUAAGAUCAAUGGUCUUUGGGAUCUCCUUACAAUUCUGUGUAUUUCUAUCUCACUGUUCUUUGUUUUCAUAAAGCUUCUACAUUCGUUAUCUUGAAUACGUAAGUUUUUAAAAAACUAUUUGAAAUUAAUGUAAUAUAUAUUUUAUAUCAAUAAACAUCCAGUCAGAAAAA
Molecule: long non-coding RNA, 489 nt
Organism: Nannospalax galili (Upper Galilee mountains blind mole rat)
Lineage: Eukaryota; Metazoa; Chordata; Mammalia; Rodentia; Spalacidae
Exons: 2
Source: RefSeq, a predicted model, not a curated record